Molecule: ribosomal RNA, 465 nt
Filed under: uncultured bacterium
Lineage: Bacteria
Description: partial 16S ribosomal RNA
Rfam family: Bacterial small subunit ribosomal RNA
Source: RNAcentral
CCUACGGGGGGCAGCAGUGGGGGAUAUUGCACAAUGGGGGGAACCCUGAUGCAGCGACGCCGCGUGAGGGAUGAAGGUCUUCGGAUCGUAAACCUCUGUCAGCAGGGAAGAACGGUCACUGUGCUAAUCAGCAGUGAAUUGACGGUACCUGCAAAGGAAGCACCGGCGAACUCCGUGCCAGCAGCCGCGGUAAUACGGAGGGUGCGAGCUUUAAUCGGAAUUACUGGGCGUAAAGGGCUCGUAGGCGGUAUGUCAAGUCAAGGGUGAAACCCCCGCGCUCAACGUGGGAACUGCCUUUGAAACUGGCAAACUGGAGUGUGUGAGAGGAAGGUGGAAUGCCUGGUGUAGGGGUGAAAUCCGUAGAUAUCAGGAGGAACAUCAGUGGCGAAGGCGACUAUCUGGCACAUAACUGACGCUGAGGAGCGAAAGCGUGGGUAGCAAACAGGAUUAGAUACCCGAGUAGUC